RNAcentral lists this unclassified non-coding RNA (219 nucleotides) under Hevea brasiliensis (rubber tree). The record is from RNAcentral. Lineage: Eukaryota; Viridiplantae; Streptophyta; Magnoliopsida; Malpighiales; Euphorbiaceae.
AACCGAUAGGUUCUUCCUGGAUAACCACUCGCAGGAUCAGCUCUCAUAUUCAUAUUAGUCAUUGGCACUUUGGUGUAUGACUCAAGGUACCAAGUCAUAGGCAAUUUUCCACCUGGAUUUUGAUAUCCGAAAAUUAUCUCGGAUAGUGCUUUGCCACCAGUCUCUCCAGGGUAAGCAACCCAUAAGAUACUAGCAAUUCUUGGGUCUUCCUCAGCAAAG